AAGCAUAUGAUAAGGCCCAUUCUCAAGUACAUGCAAACUGGUAUGCAAAGACUAAAAGUGAUCCAAUGAAAUGGUUCAAACCUCUAAAAAUACUUUUAAUAAUUUAUGGAGUUUAAAAUGAUUACGUAACUAUGUACACCUGGUGGUUUUACUUGUUACUGUUUGCUAUUUCUUAAGUAAACAUUUUUUUUAUUCAAAAACUUAACCAAGUUUUUAAAUCUUUAUGUUGGAGUAGAGAUGACAGAAAGACUGUACACACACACACACACACACACACACACACACACACACACACGUACGUACACACAAAGCAAGAAGGGGGGAGGCGAAAAAAAGGCUAACAAAGAAAAGUAGGCAACAAGAGAGAACAUAGACAAAGAAAGGGAAGAAGGCAGAGGAGACAUGACACAGUGGGAGUGAAGAACGCCAGUGGCUGGACUUAGUCUCAGUCAGUGAGCCGCUACUUCUUCCCCUACAGUAAAUGAAUAUUCAGGCAUCAGACUAUGAGCUGUCCUUAGCCUUCGUUGUACAUCUUUUCCCUUGGAUUAAUUCCCUUUUUGAUGGUUUUUGAUGCUAUUGAGAUGCCUUCACUAUAUAAUUUCAGGCAUACAGAAAUGUUCUGUGGUCUUCUUCCAUGCAUGAGCCCUUGUAUUGUUUUGAACUGUUAAUGAAAAUCUUUUUCUUUUAUAGGAAAGAACAUUAUCCAUGGAAAAUUGUUCAGAAAUUCACCCAUGGAUUUAUUUACAAUGGCACUAAGGAGCUCAGAGCCUUGGGCAGGGUUGGUGAGCACUCCAUCACUGAGCUAUCUUCCCAGCUCCAGUGUUAGUUAUAACUCAGCCCUUUCUUUGAGAAGUACACAGUCAUUUGAGAAUGCAGAAUUAGCACCAUGCCUUUGGUGAGCUCUACAUUGAACUGAAUGAGGAACUGCCACAUGUUGCCACGUGUUCCACAUCAUGAACAGUCAACAACACGCCAUAGAAGUAUGGCAUAAUUGUGCACUGGUAGGUUGAGGAAGAGACAGUGAGAAGAUUGGAUGAAAUGAGUGGUGAGUUGUGACACCUCCAGACUUUUUUCUACUCACUCUUUACAUGUUUAUAUUGUUUACAUGUAUGGCAUUUCCUUCUUCUAGUCUGCUGUGGUUUGAAUGGGACUUCCUACUACCACCUAUCUACUACCUUUCAAUUCAGAAAUUGAAGCUUUUCAGCCUGAGAAUAAGAAAUUGGUCUCGAGGAAAGAAUAAUGUCGCAAGAAUUUUGCUGUUAUAAAUGGGGUUGUUUAUAGUUCCCUAUAGGAGCAUGGCCUUUAAGGCAAAGGAUGAGUCCUCACCAGCCACCAAAUGACUUUCAUUUUCAUUUCGUACUUUCAAAACCUUGAACAAUAUGUUUAUUUUAUAGUUUAUAACUAACUCAGUCUGAGACAGGCUUUAGGAAUAGAAACCUGAAACAUAAGCACCGAAUUCAGUAUACUAAACUCUGUAGUAAAUGCCAGAAGAUGUGGGAGUUAACUUUGCAGUUGGGUAACUGGUAAAAGAGUGGAUGAGUUCUGAAGCUGCCAGAGAAGUAUUGCUGGAAUGGGCUGUGAAAGCAAUUUAGUGAGAGCACAGGAGGGUAGGAAAUCUGCUACCUUAAAGAGUACCUGGAAGGUCAUGAAUAGGAUGCUGGUGGUAGAUGUGUGGAGGGUAAAGGUCUUGUUGAUGGCAUUCCAAUGGUAAUGAGUAGCACUCCUUUUUUUAUUGGUUAUUUUAUUUGUUUACAUUUCAAAUGUUAUCCCCUUCCCAGUCUUCCCUCAAUAACCCCCCCAUCCUCUCCUCCCUCCUCUUGCCUCUAUGAGGGUAUUCUGCUGCCCACACAUUCCUGCCUCUGGGGCCUAGCAUUCCCCUGUCCUUGGUUAUCAAGCCUCCAUAGGACCUAGGGGCUCCCCUCCCAGUGAUGCCAGUAGCACUCCUAAAGCUGAAUGAAAGGCAACUCUUGUACAGCAAAGAACUUGUGAGUGAUGAUAUAAGGUACUUGGUCAAAAAGAAUAACUCACAAAGGCUUGUAGGAAUAACAUCCCCUUCCAUAAUUUCUUGUAGUACAAAAUCAAGAAGUAAGAACUUAUUUACAGGAAAAAUUUACAAGCCAAAGGGAGCAGAACUUAAAGAUCUUGAAAAUACUCAAUCUGCUUUGCAUUUCUUAUAACUCAUAAGAUAGCAUACUUGAGAAAGAGCACCCAAGUUAUACGUCAAAAGCCCAUAAGGAUAACAUCUGUGGUGUUCAGGAAGAUGAAAGACGUGACCGAAAAGACCAUUUGGAGAGUUUUUAUUCUGACACUCACUUCCCAGCAUUCUAGGGCUUUAAUGCGAGCAGUGUGAAAUGAGAGGUUCCAGGCUGUUCCCAUGAAUUUGGGACUUGCUGCUAGGUACCUCUCUAAUCUUCUUCCUGUACAUUAGCAAUACAAUCAUCAAAUGUCCUACAUAAUUCUGUUUGACAAGGUGUAUAUAUCAGUGAUUUCUUCUUUGGAGGGCCUAGGUAGUAAACUUUGUGUUUGUCUACAUACUACAACUGCCUAGGAGCACAAAGUAAAAGAGCUUUAGGAGAUUGCUUACUCCAACCUAGAUUUCAUUAAAUGCCCUAUGUAGAUUCAAGCGCUAGGAAAUCAACACUAGAACCUCAAUUGAUAGGCCAUUGAAGAUGAGUUGUUCCUGAGACCACUGAAUCAUAGAGUCAUCAGCUUGGACAUCGUUGCCAAGGUAAAGGUAGGCAGGCACCCAUCACCAAAGUGAUGGACAUUAGGGACCCAUCCACUGCCACAGUGACUCAAGAAGGUGACACAAAGAGUCAGAUAAGAGUAUUCCACAGACUACAUGAAGCUCAAGAAGAAGGACAGCCAAAGUGCUGAUGCUUCACUUUGAAGGAGGAACAAAAAUAUUCAUAGAAGGAAAUACGGAGACAAAGUUUGGAGGAGAGACUGCCCCACCUGGGGAUCAGCCCAUAUACAUACAGCCACCAAACCCAGACAAUAUUGCUGAUGCCAAGAAGAGCACGCUGAUAAGAAACUGAUAUAGCUGUCUCCUGAGAGGCUCUGCCAGAGCAUGACAAAUACAGAAGCUUAUGAUCAUAGCCAACCAUUGAACGAAGAACAGAUCCCUAUUGGAGGAGUUAGAGAACGUAUGGAAGGAGCUGAAGGGGCUUGCAACCCCAUAAGAACAAAAAUACGAACCAACCAGAGCUCCUAGAGACUGAACCACUACCCAAAGACUACAUAUAGAUAGACCCAUGACUCCUGCUGCAUAUGUAGCAGAGGAUGGCUUUGUGGGGUGCCAUUGGGAGGAGAAGCCCUUAUUCCUGCCAAGAGUAGACCCCCCAGUGGAGGGGAAUGUCAGGGCAUGGAGGUGGGAAGAGGUGGGUGGAUGAGUGGGGGAACACCCUCAUAGAAUAAGGUGGAGGGGAAAUAGGAUAGGAGGGUUUUGGACUGGAAA
Non-coding RNA from Rattus norvegicus (Norway rat), 3457 nucleotides. The record is from RefSeq and is a predicted model, not a curated record. Lineage: Eukaryota; Metazoa; Chordata; Mammalia; Rodentia; Muridae.